This 253-nucleotide ribosomal RNA is filed under the name uncultured bacterium. Its description in RNAcentral is "partial 16S ribosomal RNA". It matches the Rfam family "Bacterial small subunit ribosomal RNA", at positions 524 to 776 of the family's 1533-position model. The record is from RNAcentral.
GACGUAGGGCGCGAGCGUUGUCCGGAUUUAUUGGGCGUAAAGAGCUCGUAGGCGGCUUGUCGCGUCGUCCGUGAAAACCCGGGGCUCAACUCCGGGCUUGCGGGCGAUACGGGCAGGCUAGAGUUCGGUAGGGGAGACUGGAAUUCCAGGUGUAGCAGUGAAAUGCGUAGAGAUCUGGAGGAACACCCGUGGCGAAGGCGGCUCUCUGGGACGGUACUGACGCUGAGACGCGAAAGCGUGGGGAGCAAACAGG